RNAcentral lists this ribosomal RNA (422 nucleotides) under uncultured prokaryote. Its description in RNAcentral is "bacterial SSU rRNA". It matches the Rfam family "Bacterial small subunit ribosomal RNA", at positions 355 to 774 of the family's 1533-position model. The record is from RNAcentral.
UAAGGAAUAUUGGUCAAUGGACGCAAGCCUGAACCAGCCAUCCCGCGUGCAGGAAGACGGCCCUAUGGGUUGUACACUGCUUUUCCAGGGGGAGAAUUUUUCUGUCGUGACAGGAAUUGACGGUACCCUGGGAAUAAGCAUCGGCUAACUCCGUGCCAGCAGCCGCGGUAAUACGGAGGAUGCGAGCGUUAUCCGGAUUUAUUGGGUUUAAAGGGUGCGUAGGCGGAUAGAUAAGUCAGUGGUGAAAACCUGCAGCUUAACUGUAGACUUGCCGUUGAUACUGUCAGUCUUGAGUAUGGUCAAGGUAGGCGGAAUGUGUAAUGUAGCGGUGAAAUGCUUAGAUAUUACACAUAAGACCGAUUGCGAAGGCAGCUUGCUGGGCCAUUACUGACGCUGAUGCACGAAAGCGUGGGGAUCGAACA